This 207-nucleotide ribosomal RNA is filed under the name Triticum aestivum (bread wheat). RNAcentral describes it as "partial small subunit ribosomal RNA". Lineage: Eukaryota; Viridiplantae; Streptophyta; Magnoliopsida; Poales; Poaceae. The record is from RNAcentral.
AUGGUAGGCGUCAACGGCAAUGUGCAAAAGGGCCUCGCAUCUCUCGUCAUGUUGGCUUCAUGGGAGAUUUGGAACAAGUGGAAUGCGAGAGUAUUUAGGAAGGUGUCCUCCAUACCAAAUGUAAUCACGUCUAGAAUCAAGGCGGAGGUCAGACUUUGGGGGUUGGCAGGGGCCAAACGUCCGAGUUCUCUUAUGCCUCGAGAGUAG